CACGGAGUUAGCCGGGGCUUCCUCCCGAGGCACCGUCACUUGCUUCGUCCCUCGGGACAGGAGUUUACGAUCCGAAAACCUUCUUCCUCCACGCGGCGUUGCUGGGUCAGGGUUUCCCCCAUUGCCCAAAAUU
RNAcentral lists this ribosomal RNA (133 nucleotides) under uncultured bacterium. RNAcentral's name for it is "partial 16S ribosomal RNA". The record is from RNAcentral.